AGUAAACUAUUUAUAUGGGUCCGUCUU
Molecule: non-coding RNA, 27 nt
Filed under: Rattus norvegicus (Norway rat)
Lineage: Eukaryota; Metazoa; Chordata; Mammalia; Rodentia; Muridae
Source: RNAcentral